This 76-nucleotide transfer RNA is filed under the name Desulfosarcina widdelii. RNAcentral describes it as "tRNA-Arg". It matches the Rfam family "tRNA". Rfam says of the family: Transfer RNA (tRNA) molecules are approximately 80 nucleotides in length. Their secondary structure includes four short double-helical elements and three loops (D, anti-codon, and T loops). Further hydrogen bonds mediate the characteristic L-shaped molecular structure. tRNAs have two regions of fundamental functional importance: the anti-codon, which is responsible for specific mRNA codon recognition, and the 3' end, to which the tRNAs corresponding amino acid is attached (by aminoacyl-tRNA synthetases). tRNAs cope with the degeneracy of the genetic code in two manners: having more than one tRNA (with a specific anti-codon) for a particular amino acid; and 'wobble' base-pairing, i.e. permitting non-standard base-pairing at the 3rd anti-codon position. Lineage: Bacteria; Pseudomonadati; Thermodesulfobacteriota; Desulfobacteria; Desulfobacterales; Desulfosarcinaceae. The record is from RNAcentral. RNAcentral also lists the same sequence under 3 other names.
GCGCCCGUAGCUCAGUGGAUAGAGCACUAGCCUCCGGAGCUAGGUGUCGCAGGUUCGAUCCCUGCCGGGCGCGCCA